CAACUUUCAGUGCAGGGAUGUUUAGGCUCGCACAUCGAUGAAGAACGCUGCCAAUGCCAUCGUAAUGCCAAUUGCAAAUUCAUGGUGUCGUCUCAAUUUUUGAAUCAUAUUGCCCUUUCGGGUGUAGACCCGGCAAGUAGGUCUGUCUCAGGGUCCGG
This 158-nucleotide ribosomal RNA is filed under the name Globisporangium glomeratum. RNAcentral describes it as "Pythium glomeratum 5.8S ribosomal RNA". It matches the Rfam family "5.8S ribosomal RNA". Rfam says of the family: 5.8S ribosomal RNA (5.8S rRNA) is a component of the large subunit of the eukaryotic ribosome. RNAcentral also lists the same sequence under 1 other name. The record is from RNAcentral. Lineage: Eukaryota; Oomycota; Peronosporomycetes; Pythiales; Pythiaceae.